GGGUUUGAUUAUGGCUCAGAUUGAACGCUGGCGGCAUGCCUUACACAUGCAAGUCGAACGGUAACAGGUUAAGCUGACGAGUGGCGAACGGGUGAGUAAUAUAUCGGAACGUGCCCAGUCGUGGGGGAUAACGUAGCGAAAGCUACGCUAAUACCGCAUACGAUCUACGGAUGAAAGCGGGGGAUCGCAAGACCUCGCGCGAUUGGAGCGGCCGAUAUCAGAUUAGCUAGUUGGUGAGGUAAAGGCUCACCAAGGCGACGAUCUGUAGCUGGUCUGAGAGGACGACCAGCCACACUGGAACUGAGACACGGUCCAGACUCCUACGGGAGGCAGCAGUGGGGAAUUUUGGACAAUGGGCGAAAGCCUGAUCCAGCAAUGCCGCGUGCAGGACGAAGGCCUUCGGGUUGUAAACUGCUUUUGUACGGAGCGAAACGGCUCUCUCUAAUACAGGGGGCUAAUGACGGUACCGUAAGAAUAAGCACCGGCUAACUACGUGCCAGCAGCCGCGGUAAUACGUAGGGUGCAAGCGUUAAUCGGAAUUACUGGGCGUAAAGCGUGCGCAGGCGGUUAUAUAAGACAGAUGU
This 584-nucleotide ribosomal RNA is filed under the name uncultured bacterium. Its description in RNAcentral is "bacterial SSU rRNA". It matches the Rfam family "Bacterial small subunit ribosomal RNA", at positions 9 to 595 of the family's 1533-position model. The record is from RNAcentral.